AUUCCAUAUUUCCGAUGCAACUGUCAUGGCUGCCAUCAGUGAGGGCCCGAAAUGGAGAUCGGGUUAAGGGUCGCCCAGGGGCACUUAAGAGCCUUCGGCUUCAAGGGGGCCUCUCAAAGGAAAAAGGAUGAGAUUUUCUGGCGGCAGGGUGCCCCCCACAAUCCUAGGAACUCUGUCGUCGCGCUUCCCGUUAACUUGCCGCUAAGUUUUUCUAGAAAACUCGUCCUUCUUGGCAGGGUGGGGCCUCACUUCUGACCCAGCCCUUCUUUGUGUACCAAGUUUUUGUUUCCGUCACUUCCCGCGGCCCGGGAGCUCGGCGGGCCAUACCGUGGUAGCCUGGGAGGAAGGGGCGGGCCGGAUGUUGGAACCUAGAGAGGUGGGGCUCGUCGAGGAGUCACGGGCGGCGGAGGCUGGAGUCUUCUAAAUGGAACAUUGAGUUACCCCACCGUUUGGUGCCUGGUCUCUCUUAAUUCUAGGUGCUUCUCACCGUGGAGGCGCUCAGAGCUGACCAUAAGGCUCUUCCCUGCUGACCCAACCACCCUCAACCACAGCCUGCCCUCCUCCAGAUAGACUUUGAUCCUAGAAAAUAUCUAGGAUGGGCAUAGUGCAGUAUGUUGUGUUGUUUUUUUUUUUUAAGUCUCAAACAUAAGCAAACUGUUAUUAAAAGUUUUAGAAUUAAUAGGCAGAGUUCGCAUAUUGGGUCAUGUGAUCGUUUUAAGGUUUAAAUUUAGAUAACAUGGUAGCAAAAGCAUUAGGAAAAAAAACAGUAUGAGAAAAUAGACUAAUUUUAACUUUGCUACUGCGCGGUGGUAACAUGAAGACACCUCAUAAUAAAGUUUUCAUUACCAGAAGCUUCUGAAAAUAAAAUUCUGGAUAUAUUAAUGUGAGUUUUCCUCUCUGCAGGGUGUCCUGUAGGUUUUGUCAUGGAGUGAAACAGAAACAAAUGUAGGUCUCCUGGGUUCUUGGCACAGUACCUGGACAAAACAUUGUUAAGGUGGAAAUUUUCGUUGUAUUUAUCACUUCAAACAUUUGACCAGUUUAUUUA
This is a non-coding RNA of Chlorocebus sabaeus (green monkey), 1045 nucleotides long. NCBI's taxonomy places the organism in Eukaryota, Metazoa, Chordata, Mammalia, Primates, Cercopithecidae. The record is from RefSeq and is a predicted model, not a curated record.